GACGAACGCUGGCGGCGUGCCUAAUACAUGCAAGUAGAACGCUGAAGGAGGAGCUUGCUUCUCUGGAUGAGUUGCGAACGGGUGAGUAACGCGUAGGUAACCUGCCUGGUAGCGGGGGAUAACUAUUGGAAACGAUAGCUAAUACCGCAUAAGAGUAGAUGUCGCAUGACAUUUGCUUCAAAGGUGCAAUUGCAUCACUACCAGAUGGACCUGCGUUGUAUUAGCUAGUUGGUGAGGUAACGGCUCACCAAGGCAACGAUACAUAGCCGACCUGAGAGGGUGAUCGGCCACACUGGGACUGAGACACGGCCCAGACUCCUACGGGAGGCAGCAGUAGGGAAUCUUCGGCAAUGGACGGAAGGCUGACCGAGCAACGCCGCGUGAGUGAAGAAGGGUUUCGGAUCGUAAAGCUCUGUUGUAAGAGAAGAACGAGUGUGAGAGUGGAAAGUUCACACUGUGACGGUAUCUUACCAGAAAGGGACGGCUAACUACGUG
This 495-nucleotide ribosomal RNA is filed under the name uncultured bacterium. Its description in RNAcentral is "partial 16S ribosomal RNA". It matches the Rfam family "Bacterial small subunit ribosomal RNA", at positions 28 to 507 of the family's 1533-position model. The record is from RNAcentral.